AAGAGACAGCAGUAGCCGCGGGAAUACAUAGGUCGCAAGCGUUAUCCGGAAUUAUUGGGCGUAAAGCGUUCGUAGGCUGUUUAUUAAGUCUGGAGUCAAAUCCCAGGGCUCAACCCUGGCUCGCUUUGGAUACUGGUAAACUAGAGUUGGAUAGAGGUAAGCGGAAUUCCAUGUGAAGCGGUGAAAUGCGUAGAUAUAUGGAAGAACACCAAAGGCGAAGGCAGCUUACUGGGUCUAUACUGACGCUGAGGGACGAAAGCGUGGGGAGCAAACAGGAUUAGAUACCCCGGUAGUCCCUGUCUCUUAUACA
Molecule: ribosomal RNA, 310 nt
Filed under: uncultured bacterium
Lineage: Bacteria
Description: partial 16S ribosomal RNA
Rfam family: Bacterial small subunit ribosomal RNA
Source: RNAcentral